AACGCUGGCGGCGUGCUUAACACAUGCAAGUCGAACGAGAACGGAUUAUAGCUUGCUAUAAUUGUCAGCUAAGUGGCGCACGGGUGAGUAAUAUAUAGAUAACCUGCCCUCUAGAAAGGAAUAACAGUUGGAAACGACUGCUAAUGCCCUAUAUGCCUUUAAUACAUAAGUAUGCAAGGGAAACGCUUUAGUGCUAGAGGAUGGGUCUGUAUGGUAUCAGCUUGUUGGUGAGGUAAUGGCUCACCAAGACUGUGAUCCCUAGCCGACCUGAGAGGGUGAUCGGCCACACUGGGACUGAGACACGGCCCAGACUCCUACGGGAGGCAGCAGUGGGGAAUAUUGGACAAUGGGCGCAAGCCUGAUCCAGCAAUGCCGCGUGCAGGAAGAAGGCCUUCGGGUUGUAAACUGCUUUUGUACGGAACGAAAAGGCUCUGGUUAAUACCUGGGGCUCAUGACGGUACCGUAAGAAUAAGCACCGGCUAACUACGUG
This 490-nucleotide ribosomal RNA is filed under the name uncultured bacterium. RNAcentral's name for it is "bacterial SSU rRNA". It matches the Rfam family "Bacterial small subunit ribosomal RNA", at positions 32 to 507 of the family's 1533-position model. The record is from RNAcentral.